UUGUUUUAGAUGGAGAGUGCGUGCUUUGGAUUCAAGACUGGGAAUGAGGGGACCAGAAACCUAUUCUGUGGCUGUUUCUUGUUAGGACUUUCCUAAGCCUCUGGAAAAGUGCAAAGUACAAUUAACAUUUGAGUCUGUCUGAGUCAUGAAGAAAUGGAGAUUACUGAAAAUAAUUCAUUUUGGUAUCUUCUUACAUCCUGAGAGACUAAUCUUUCCAAGUUCAUCUGAGGCUCCUCUUCUCCAUGACAACCUCAUCCAGGGAUUUCUUCCUGUCCUGGUGUUUUAUGACAUAAUCACAUCCUUCCUGAGAUAAUGAGCACACAAUUGCCUGGAUACCUGAAGGAAUGGAGACAGCGGCAGAAAACACUGCAGAGAGGUGGAAACAUCCGUUAAUAUUUUAAAAUCCCAUUACUGCUACCAACAAUAAUAAUGGAUGCAUAGAAAUAGAUCUGGAUUAGCUGAGCUUGAAACAGUCCAUCUCACACACACACAAAAGAAUUUCAGAUACAGUGAACCCACAUGUUGAAGCUUUCUAGUAUAAUAAAAAUUUCAACUGUUCUGUUGAAUCAUCUGCCUGAUUGGAGGCUACAGAAAAGAUGUCAUCUUAGGAGUGCUUGCUCUGAGUGAGGCUCAUCUUCAAAUCUGAAUGACCACAAGGAGAUUUGAUUAUACAUGUGAACACCUCAGAAGGCACAGCCCACCCAGAAGGCAGACAGGUCAGGCUGCUUUUUCUUCAUUGCUUGGAUUCAAUCCUCCGGGCGGCUCAGGCUCAAACAUAACUUAAGCAUGAUUAAACUUUAGAAGAAGCUGCCAGGAAGACUGUGAAAUCUUCAUGCCCAAGGAUCCCUAAAAUUAGGAGCAACAACCACUUGGCUCAGACGGUUUAUGGAGGCAAAGGUUUGGAUGGGAUUAGAGAUUUCUAAAUGUGAGUUCGUGUCCUCUGCCAGACCACCUUACUUCCACCAUUCCUCAGCAAAUCAAGAAAAACAGGAGAAAAGACAUGCCUUUCCAUAAGUUAAAUCUAUUCUGUUUUAAUUCUAUAUUAUAUCUGCUGUACAACUUCUUUUGUUUGUAACACCAUAUUGUUGCUAGUAACUGGAAAUUAAUUUUCACAUGCCUCAGCUUAGAAAAAUAAAAAGCAGCCCUGCAUCAA
RNAcentral lists this long non-coding RNA (1153 nucleotides) under Homo sapiens (human). Its description in RNAcentral is "long intergenic non-protein coding RNA 635". Lineage: Eukaryota; Metazoa; Chordata; Mammalia; Primates; Hominidae. The record is from RNAcentral.